GUCAUUGGAAUUGGUACAUUGUAUAUUGGGGGUUCCACUAAACGAGGGUUUUCAAGAACCGGAAAAGGAGCCAUCGCUGGAGAGAGGGGUUGCGGAUGGCGGCAGAUUUAAGAGAGAUAACGAAAAUAAUCCAACUCACUGUGAAGCUAGGAUGGCUAGGUAGCUAGCAUGCUAAGUAGCCAGCAGGCGUGCUGGAAAAGCUGCCGUUUGGUCCGGUAAAGUGAGGAUUAAUGGACCAAUGACGAGCGCAAACCAGAACCAGUCGGGAUUCUACCUGUGGGCAAGCUACGACGAGGGACCAAGGCCCAUUCUUCACUACACUGUGACCCUUGAGGAGGGCUGAAGGUGAUGACCAGGAACAACUUCAUUGAUUUUGCAGUGUGGGUGAAGCAAGCCAUAAAUGUCUCCUGCUACAACAUCACAGCAUCCCUUCGCUGUUUGCGUCAAGUCAGGAUCUUUGUGUGAAACAGAUUCCUCUGAGACUGAAUCUACUAUUCAUCUCCCUUUGUUUUUUAUUGGCAAAUUAAGGUG
This is a long non-coding RNA of Phyllopteryx taeniolatus (common seadragon), 531 nucleotides long. RefSeq lists it as uncharacterized. NCBI's taxonomy places the organism in Eukaryota, Metazoa, Chordata, Actinopteri, Syngnathiformes, Syngnathidae. The record is from RefSeq and is a predicted model, not a curated record. The transcript is spliced from 3 exons.